RNAcentral lists this non-coding RNA (94 nucleotides) under Williamsia sp. RNAcentral describes it as "TPP sequence". It matches the Rfam family "TPP riboswitch aptamer (THI element)". Rfam says of the family: Vitamin B(1) in its active form thiamin pyrophosphate (TPP) is an essential coenzyme that is synthesised by coupling of pyrimidine and thiazole moieties in bacteria. The previously detected thiamin-regulatory element, thi box was extended, resulting in a new, highly conserved RNA secondary structure, the THI element, which is widely distributed in eubacteria and also occurs in some archaea. Lineage: Bacteria; Bacillati; Actinomycetota; Actinomycetes; Mycobacteriales; Nocardiaceae. The record is from RNAcentral.
GCCGGUGACACGGGGUGCCGAACACGUCGGCUGAGAUCAGACCCGCUGUACCUGACCAGGUAAUGCUGGCGGAGGGAUGUCCAUCGUGAACUCA